Long non-coding RNA from Anguilla anguilla (European eel), 934 nucleotides. RefSeq lists it as uncharacterized. Lineage: Eukaryota; Metazoa; Chordata; Actinopteri; Anguilliformes; Anguillidae. The record is from RefSeq and is a predicted model, not a curated record. The transcript has 2 exons.
CUCGCAGUUAGGAAAGAGUGAGGGAAGGAGAGAGGACAUUAGAGGGGGACGGGACGGUCCCGUCGGGGGAAGGACGAGGACGUGGCCGUGGCCUUGUGCCGCAGACUUACAGCCGCUUGACGGAGAUACGUGCUAGGCCCUGUCCGUCACACCGCACGCGGAGCGGGGGCAGGGUCGUACCCGGCGAACUGAGACCCCCGGCACGUGCCUAAAGGACUCCUCCAUUCCAGGCGUGACCCCAGAGGGCAAGGCCCCCACGGAGUGGGGAACAAAGGGCGUGACCCCGGGGUCACUGGGAGCGCAGGCGGCCCCCUUUGAAAGGCCGGUGGCGUCGCUUCGCUCCGAGCGGGGCGGAGAGCGCCCAUACACUGACUAAUAGGGAUUAAGGGGUUAUCUCCCGCGGGACCUCACUUAAGUGUGUCCGACAUCACUUCCUUAUUAGCGCCCGGGACCCCGCCACUUAACCUCGCGCCCCAGAGGCACCGCCGGCAUCGGCGACCCCCUGCCCCAGCGCUUUACGGCACGCUCACGCCGCAUUCACCGCGUUCGUCCCACAGAGAAAGCAAAGCUACGCGCAGCUUAACGAGAGAACACCAUCACCGCCUUCCCACGGCAUCACGAAAAACUAUUCAUUUGUGACUCAUGUUCACAGUAUAAGCACUUGUUUGCAAAUAAAUUAGAAGUGGCACAGAAGGAUGCUAAUGAAAUCUGUGUGCAUGUGAGGAAAUAAAGUAAAAUUACUGAAAGCCUCAUGACUGCAAUUUUGAUUGACCACCAAUAACAGAAAAGAAAAUAUCUAAUUGCAGCAAUAAUACAAAUUCCAAAAACUCUUCACCUCCUAAUAAAACUAAGUGAUAUAUUCAGUUCCAUAAGAACAGCAGUGCAUAGAAUGUAACUAAUUGAAUUGAUCACAGAAGUAAUGUAGUUUCUUAAA